CAAGAAAUGCGUCUUCAGAUAUUUCUGUGCUCGAUUAGAGUGGUCUGACCAGAGAUGCUAACAUCCCCAUUGAUUGAUAUCCACUUACGCUCCACACUGACAUCUACAGAGAAAACAUCACCAGCAUCAACAGUGAAUGUACAAUGCGUGGUGGGGAUUUAAAUCUGACGAAGACCAACGUUCUCUGAAGAUCAGACAAGGCAUUCGGCCGCUUCUAUCUGGGAUCAACCAACACCGCCUGAAAAGGUUAGCAGCAUGGUUGCCAACAAUGAGCAGAAAUUCUAGCAACGCAUCUCGGCCGCUAGCUAGUUAAAUUGUUUUUCUAGCUCGUUAGCUUUCCUGUUAGCAAUAAGCUCGCUAACGUAGACAACGACGGGUUGAGCUAACAAUUUAGUAGCAAAAAAACGUAGCUAGUUUGCCAUAUAGCAUUUGUGGAGGUUUACCAAUUGUAAUGUGGGAAAUGGGGAAUAUUACAAAUGCAUCUAACGUUAGCAAACUGCAUUUCUGAGCUGUGGUUUAUUAGCUAACGUUAACUAGCCCGCUAAUAUGCUAACGUUAAAUAGCAACAACCUAAGUUCGUUGGCUGGCUAGGUAGCUACAGUUGUAGUAAUAUUAUUUACUUUAAUAUCAGUUGUGCGUUAACAUUAUCCAACCAUCAAAUAGUGUAACUGAAUGUGGAACUCUAGCGAGCGUGUGUCAUUUCUCACUGACAAGUAGCUAGAAAGCCAGUAGUAGGCAGGCAAGCUUCAUAUGAGACAAUAGAAAAACCGAAACGGGUACAGCCCAGAUACAUACACUAAAUAUUUGUGUUAUGUACCUAUCUGGAUUGUUUUGGAUGUUUUCAUUAUGUGCAUUGCUAUGACCGAACAAACUAAUAUACCAAAUUGACCUCCUAUAGGGAUAAAAUAAUAAAUCCAUAUUUGGAACGUUUUUGACUGACGGCGACGCGCAACACAGACCAAGAGACUGUGCACGAACGACCGUAGAGAGGACGGCUCGAACACCCGCUGCUUCCAGUUGUACCUACGCCCCAAACCGAACGUUUCGUGCGAAGGAAGAGACUCCAGAACAGGCCGAUUACGAAGAUAGCAAGGCGAGGGAAGUAGGCUACGGCAAACCUCCAUCUCGCCCAGAUACCUCCAUUACGUCCACCUACCACAGCCCCCUUCAGCCAUGGACCCCCCGAGGACUCGGUCGCGGUCACGGUCAGGUUUUUUUCACUAUGGCAUGAAUGGUAGUGGCAACGGCAAUAACGCAAUCAACAACGGGAACAUGAAUGCCAGCGGAGGGAUCGGGGUGAACUACCCGCAACAGACCAACACCGGCUGGGCUCCGCACACAGCGCGCAGCUAUACAGAGAACCAGCACACCCAGGGGAACUACCUGUCUAGCGGGGCGCAACGCCACGCUUCGCAUGGAGCACACAGACACCCCGGCACUGGUGUCCUUCACUUCCACCCUGAUAACGUCUGCAGUGAUGAGCGGGACAAGGUGAGUAUAUUUCCCUUUCCCUAUUACACCUAGUACCAGGACAGCUGGAAUGCUGUAGCAUGGUGUUAAAGUGGAACUGACAGUGUUUUAGCAGCAUGAAAUCUUGUAAAAAUAUGAUGCUUUUUAAUUUUUUAGAACAUGUUCUGUCUAGCGGGCACAUAGAUAUGGUCAUUUUCACUGUGUCAAACUUUCAUAGAAUGUUUGGGAAUGAUGUAGAGUAAGGCAUUUGUGUUUACAUUUUUAUAGCAAUAUAGAGUGGGAAAGUGGCUGUGCAUUUGGACAAUUAAGACAGUGCAGUAAAUAAAACCAAAUAAAAAUGGCAGUCUUAUCCAGGCUACACAGAUUGUAGCACCAUAGCCAAUCAGAGUUACAGUAGGCCUAUAUGCAAAUAAGCCAUUUGCCACAAGGGCCUGCCAUCACUCACUUUGAACUAGACUGUUUACAGGCAGUAGCAACAGCACAACUUUAGAUCAUUAGAAAGCAUUUGCCAAAAGCCACAAAAUACACCUGACUGGGUUUCUGCACAUACAGUACCAGUCGAAAGUUUGGUCGCGCCUACUCAUUCAAGUUUAAGAAUAAUAGUGAAGACAUCAAAACUAUGAAAUAACACAUGGAAUCAUGUAGUAAGCAAAAAAGUGUUAAACAAAUCCAAAUAUAUUUCAGAUUCUUCAGUCUCCACCCUUUGCCUUGAUAGCUUUGCACACUCUUGGUGUUCUGUCAACCAGCUUAAUGAGGUAGUCACCUGGAAUGCAUUUCAAUUAACAGGUGUGCCUUGUUAAUUUCAGGAAUUUCUUUCCUUAAUGCGUUUGAGCCAAGUUGUUGUGUUGUUACAAGGUAGGGGUAGUAUAAAGAAGAUAGCCCUAUUUGAUAAAAUACAAAGUCCAUAUUAUGGCAAGAACAGCUCAAAUAAGCAAAUAGAAAUGACAGUCCAUCAUUACUUUAACACAUGGUCAGUCAAUACGGAACAUUUCAAGAACUUUGAAAGUUUCUUCCACUGCAGUUGCAAAAACCAUCAAGCGCUAUGAUGAAACUGGCUCUCAUGAGGACCGCCACAGGAAAGGAAGACCCAGAGUUACCUCUGCUGCAGAGGAUAAGUUCAUUAGUUACCAGCUUCAGAAAUUGCAGCCCAAAUAAAUGCUUCAUAAUUCAAGUAACACACAUCUCAACAUCAACUGUUCAGGGGUGACUGUGUGAAUCAGGCCUUCAUGGUUAAAUGCUGCAAAGAUACUACUACUAAAGGACAACAAUAAGAAGAGACUUGCUUGGACCAAGAAACACGAGCGAUGGACAUUAGACUGUUGGGCAUCUGUCCUUGGUCUGAUGAGUCAAAAUAUGAGGUUUUUGGUUCAACCGCUGUGCCUUUGUGAGACGCAGAGGUGAACGAACGUAUGAUCUCCGCAUGUGUGGUUCCCACUUUGAAGCAUGGAG
This is a long non-coding RNA of Oncorhynchus tshawytscha (Chinook salmon), 2919 nucleotides long. The record is from Ensembl. Lineage: Eukaryota; Metazoa; Chordata; Actinopteri; Salmoniformes; Salmonidae.